This 180-nucleotide ribosomal RNA is filed under the name uncultured Acidobacteriota bacterium. RNAcentral's name for it is "uncultured Acidobacteria bacterium partial 16S ribosomal RNA". It matches the Rfam family "Bacterial small subunit ribosomal RNA", at positions 139 to 306 of the family's 1533-position model. Lineage: Bacteria; Pseudomonadati; Acidobacteriota. The record is from RNAcentral.
GGGGAUAACGUCCCGAAAGGGACGCUAAUACCGCAUGACAUCCUGCUUUUGAACGAGCGGAGAUCUUUUUCUCUGGUCGCAAGACCUAGCGCUUGAAGAGGGGCCCGCGUCCGAUUAGCUAGUUGGUGAGGUAACGGCUCACCAAGGCUACGAUCGGUAGCCGGCCUGAGAGGGCGGACG